RNAcentral lists this long non-coding RNA (4378 nucleotides) under Solanum tuberosum (potato). Its description in RNAcentral is "long non-coding RNA (STUB_LNC005074)". Lineage: Eukaryota; Viridiplantae; Streptophyta; Magnoliopsida; Solanales; Solanaceae. The record is from RNAcentral.
UCCAUUCUCAAGCCCACUCAGCAGCCCACCUAAAGAAACCCAUUCCAACAAUAUUUUAUAUACAUUACAAUGAUCCAAACAUACGAACAGCAGCCCAAACAAAAUGACCCCUGCGUUCUCUUUCUUCUUCACCAACACGUGAAUGCACUGAAAAACCCAGAAGUGUCAACAACUUGCAAACGUCAACAACGGCUGCUCUCACCAAACUGUUCCAACAGCUCCCACAUCCUUUCUCUGCAACAACCGCCCAUUUUGAUCUUUUCCAUCCGGAUUUUAGGGGAUUUUGGUUGAAUUUCCAUACAACAACAGCUUUUCCUCUUGGGGAAAAAUUUGAAUUGAUUUGAUUGGGGAAUUCCGAUUUUGCCCCAAGUUCCUAUCCGUUUUUUUCUCCCAAAUCUGCCCUAAUUUUCUAGCUAUAUAUACUCUUUUCUUAUUCACUGUAUGGGGCAGAGAGGGAUUUUGGUGGAGUUUGAGUUUAGUUUGGAAGCAAUAGUCGUUUUACAAUUGAAAAAUUUCAAGCGAUUCUCUAAUCCUAGGUUCCAAGGAAAUAUCUGUUUGUAGUCGGUGGUGAACUUCUUGGCUCGCUAUUAGUAUUUGAAAUCUUGUGGUAGAAAAAUCACUGUCCAAAGCUCGUUGUUGUCUUAGUUUCGCUGCACUUCGAAAGGUAAUCCUUAUUUCAAUGCAUGCCUCUUUUGCUCUUCAUAUGUUGGUCGUGAGUUGUUUAAGUGUUAGAUUUUGAGAAUAUUUGGACUUUCUUUUUUUACUGAUGAUAAAUUGGUAGUACGAAUGGUUUGUUCACUCAAAUGCUAUUUUAAUUUUUGUUCUGUGGCCAUGUGUUUUGCAACUAGUGUAAGUUAGUUUCUCCAUGUUCAUAUCUGCUUUCCCUUUUAACCCCAUCACUGCUGAAUAAUAUUGUUGUAUCGUCGCUUACUCUUUUCGAGCUCCAUUUGGUUUGUUAUGGUGUUGAUUUGUGGUCUAUCAUUGUUCAUGUCGUUUCCCAAUAGUUUCAGAAUCUUAGGAAUUAAUGGAUACGUCAAGUUGUAUGUGAUAUUGUGUUUUCUUUUGAAUCUACCUUAGGUGCUAAUCCUUAUAAAAAAAAAAAUGAUAAUCCAAGAGUAUGAACCUUGUCCUCAUUUUAGAUUAUCGAUAGGUUUCACUAUCGAAUUUUGAAUGUUGUAAUUAAAGCAGUGUGAAUCCUGCAAAAGGUUUAGUUUCGCAGCCUCAUUCUUCUGUGCUUAAGCUCGUUUGUCGUAACAAGUUGUUAGUAUGUCUCUGUUGUUGUACACUGAAUCUGCCAAGUUGAACAUGUUGUGCUUGCGUUGGCCUAUCCAAGCAUCUGUCCCUCUGUUGUUCGUUGCGGGUUAUUACUUGUCAUUGUCUUUAAAAUUGCCGAAAUCUCAUAAUCAGUAAAUGGGGUAGUAGCAUGUCAUUUUCUGGAUUUGACAACUUCAUCCUUCCUUCAUCAAGUUUCGUUAUCAUCCAAUAGUCCAAUGUGUCAUGUUAGGAUUGAGUUUAUGUCUCUGCCUCAUUUAGAAGCUUGCCAAAGCAUCAUUUGCUACUUGUAGUUAACUUAGGGACAAGGACGAGAUUUUGUUACCUUCCAAUCCUUGGUUUAUUCCAACACUCGCUUUCCUUCAACCGAAUGCCUAUCCGUGAACUUUUAAAUUAGAUGUCCAGCACUUGAUUAUUAGGUUGCAAAUGCGAUAUUUGUUUAAAUAUAUGCUAAGUCUGCAUUGAUCCAUGUGCUUGAUUGUUGGACUUAAAAGUUCUCAACAUGGCUAUCGCACCAACUGGUCUUAAACAUCGAGGAGUGCACUCACUUGGUUACUAUCAAUGGAAUUUUCUUUUUUUGAAAAUAGGGACAGAUCUUUAACUAGUUAACGUGAAGACUAUUUGUCAUUUUAUCUAUUGUUUGUUGACGUUAACAGUUGGUCUUUCUUCAUUUUUAAAUCUUAGGAUUGUCUUAUUGUCCAGCAUGCCCUGAUCAGAUCUUACUUUAGCUUUAGAUCUAUAUAGCUGAUAAUAUUAAAAGAUCAACCAAACUUUAUAAAAUGCGGCCAAUUACUGGAUUAGUCUAAAACAAAUCAAUUUGUUUGCUUCCUUGAAGUUGACCUCGUGCUAGGCUUAAUGGGUUAUUUUGUAAGAAAUUUAUUCAAUCAAAAGUUUAUUUUAUUUGUUAGUUAGUAUUGGUUUCGAUUGUUGAUUUCUUCCUGUUAGUUUAUCUCGUGAAAUAUGCUUCAAUCUGUUUAAUCUGGGUAUAAGUAAUAUGUGGGAUUGCUAGUUGAAAUCAUUGGUUAGAAUAUGUGUGGAUGUUGGUCUCCAUGUUAUCUUGUCUACUUCUUUUUUGCAAAUUAUAAAUUGGUUUUAAAAUGUAAAGUUUGGUAGCAUGUGUUGCUUAAUAAACAUGCGGCCAUAAUUUUGUCAAGAUUAGAAUAAUAGCUAAUUAGUUUUCAUUAUUGUUGCAAUUAUGUGAUGAUCAAAAUAUAUUCUAUUCCAUAAUAUGAUCAUAGUGAAUUUUGGCCAUGUUAUUUCUCACAAAACAGUUGCUAAGUUUGUUUCUUUUAUCUUUUGUUACAUGGGAACCCUUCUUGUCCCUGGUAUGAGUCCAUCGGGACUCCCCUCUUUUGCAUUUCGUCGGGUUGAAAUCCAAAUUCUCCUUUUACUCGAGUCGGUCUUCACAAUUAUUUGAGUUUCGGAAGCUUCCACAAAACAGUAGCAGAUAUGCAAGUCUCAGAAAGCUGAAAAUAGGCUGAGAUACAGCCUGUAUACAUUAAUAUACAUUGAUAUACAUCGGUAUAUACUCAUAUACAGGUCGAAAAGUGUGAAAAUAUAGGUCUAAGGUGAAAUACAGGGUUUGGAAGCAGGAGAUACACGGAAAGAGCCGAUAUACAUGCCGAUAUACACUGAUAUACAUCAGUUGUAUACCAAAAACGGGUUUUGGUUAAACCCCAAAAAGUAGCAACGAAUUUGGCCCAAGAAAGGCCCAAAUUCAACUUUCUCUCCGUUACUCUUAAAUUAUUUAAUUAUAAUUAUUUAUUGUUUGUUGUUUAUUAACCCUAACUUUAUAAUUGUUCAUUAACUUAGUUAAUUCCCCAAAAGACGAACUAUUUCUUUGUGUUGUUUUGUUUUUUUUUUUUUUUUUUUUUACAGAUCUCAUUUUUAUCAACUCUUGAAUUUUCAUUUAUAAUCUCUAGUUAAAACCAUUUAUUAGUUUAAAAUAGUUUUCACAUUUUGAUUAACCAACAAUGAUUCAAAGUAAAAACCAACUAAUCUAGUUUUAUUCUAAUCACCUGUCUCUAAUUCAAAUGUUUCAAUUAAGGUCCCAUUUUCUUAAAAAAAUAAAAAUUACUAUUUGUUUAACUAUUUUUUCAAAGUUAAUCUAAUAAUGUUAAUUAUUAUUAUAAAAUACUUACUUAGUCAUUUUCUCAAGAAAGUUAGCCAAAGCUUUUAUUCUUCAAUUAAUUUAAAAUAAUUUUCAUGCUUUAAUGUAUUAAAUUAGUUUAAAUUAUUAUUUCAAAGUGAAUCAAUUAAAUUCUAAUUAAUCUAGUUUUAUUAAUAUUUCAAUGUUCGAGUCAAAUGUAUCAUUUUGGAUCCCUUCCUUUAAAAAUAAAAAUGAAAUAAAAAUGCAUCAUUUCUUUAAUUUUUUUUCUUAAUCAAAUAUAUUAUAAAGUUAUUAUUUUUUAUGUUAAAUCAUUAUUAUUAUCCUAAAAAUAGUCGAAUAUAUUUUAGUCAAGUCGCAGGUCAAUCGCAUGUUAGCGGACACUUCGAAUGCUUAAACCCUUCUCGAAGUGUAAAUUGAACCCCGAACCCUCUUUGGUAUUUUCAAAUGAUUUUUUCUGUUUAAAUCUUUGAAAAUUAUAAGUUUUCUUAAAUUUCUUUAAAAAAAUUAAGUGGCGACUCUUUCUAAGUAUAUUUCUCAAAUUGUUUUAUACUUAGAACAUUUCAAAAAGUGAUUUUUCUACACAUAGGAAAAUUAUGGCACAACAGUCAACUAUUCAACUCAAUCUAAGCAUACUUCCAUCAUCAUUCAAUCAUAAAUAAUAAACCCACUUCAUAAGCCAACUUUAGGAAACUUGCCAAGACAUGGGUUCAUGGAAAUUUCUUUCUUAAAACCAUCAAUAGACACCAUUAAUAACAUAAAUCAUCAAAAAAAGCAAUCAAUGCAAGAACCCAUGCUUAGAAUCGAAAUUAGGAUUUUUUGUGUUUUUGGAAGAACUUUGAAUCAUUUGAAUUGAGCUCCUUGAAAGGAAGAAUAAUCAAGGAUAACGGAUCCCCAUACCUUAAUCAUCAAGAACCAAAUGAAAUUGAAGAAGAAAUCAAUAGCCACCAUCAACCCUAGUUCCAUCUUCCAAGCCCUAACUCUCACUCUUACUCUCAC